GACGAACGCUGGCGGCGUGCUUAACACAUGCAAGUCGAACGGAAAGGCCCUGCUUUUGUGGGGUGCUCGAGUGGCGAACGGGUGAGUAACACGUGAGUAACCUGCCCUUGACUUUGGGAUAACUUCAGGAAACUGGGGCUAAUACCGGAUAGGAGCUCCUGCUGCAUGGUGGGGGUUGGAAAGUUUCGGCGGUUGGGGAUGGACUCGCGGCUUAUCAGCUUGUUGGUGGGGUAGGGGCUUACCAAGGCUUUGACGGGUAGCCGGCCUGAGAGGGUGACCGGCCCAAUGGGACUGAGAAAAGGGCCCAACCCCCUAGGGGGGGAAGCGGGGGGAAAUAUUCCCCAAGGGGGGGAAGCUGGAGGCGCAAACCCCCCGGGCGGGAGGAGGGCCUUGGGGUUGUAAACCCUUUUCCCCUGUGACGAAGCGGGAGUGACGGUAAUGGGAAAAGAAGACCCGGCAAACUACGU
This 467-nucleotide ribosomal RNA is filed under the name uncultured bacterium. Its description in RNAcentral is "partial 16S ribosomal RNA". It matches the Rfam family "Bacterial small subunit ribosomal RNA", at positions 28 to 506 of the family's 1533-position model. The record is from RNAcentral.